Molecule: ribosomal RNA, 1075 nt
Filed under: Listeria monocytogenes
Lineage: Bacteria; Bacillati; Bacillota; Bacilli; Caryophanales; Listeriaceae
Description: partial 23S ribosomal RNA
Rfam family: Bacterial large subunit ribosomal RNA
Source: RNAcentral
GGUUAAGUUAGAAAGGGCGCACGGUGGAUGCCUUGGCACUAGGAGCCGAAGAAGGACGGGACUAACACCGAUAUGCUUUGGGGAGCUGUACGUAAGCGUUGAUCCAGAGAUUUCCGAAUGGGGGAACCCACUAUCUUUAGUCGGAUAGUAUCCUUACGUGAAUACAUAGCGUGAGGAAGGCAGACCCAGGGAACUGAAACAUCUAAGUACCUGGAGGAAGAGAAAGAAAAAUCGAUUUCCUGAGUAGCGGCGAGCGAAACGGAAAGAGCCCAAACCAAGAAGCUUGCUUCUUGGGGUUGUAGGACACUCUAUACGGAGUUACAAAAGAAAGUUAUAAAUGAAGCGGUCUGGAAAGGCCCGCCAAAGACGGUAACAGCCCGGUAGUUGAAAUGGCUUUCCCUCCAGAGUGGAUCCUGAGUACGGCGGAACACGUGAAAUUCCGUCGGAAUCCGGGAGGACCAUCUCCCAAGGCUAAAUACUCCCUAGUGACCGAUAGUGAACCAGUACCGUGAGGGAAAGGUGAAAAGCACCCCGGAAGGGGAGUGAAACAGUUCCUGAAACCGUGUGCCUACAAGUAGUUAGAGCCCGUUAAUGGGUGAUAGCGUGCCUUUUGUAGAAUGAACCGGCGAGUUACGAUUUGUUGCAAGGUUAAGCGGAAAAAGCGGAGCCGUAGCGAAAGCGAGUCUGAAUAGGGCGCAUAAGUAACAGGUCGUAGACCCGAAACCAGGUGAUCUACCCAUGUCCAGGAUGAAGGUAAGGUAAUACUUACUGGAGGUCCGAACCCACGCACGUUGAAAAGUGCGGGGAUGAGGUGUGGGUAGCGGAGAAAUUCCAAUCGAACUUGGAGAUAGCUGGUUCUCUCCGAAAUAGCUUUAGGGCUAGCCUCGAGGUAAAGAGUCAUGGAGGUAGAGCACUGUUUGGACUAGGGGCCCUUCUCGGGUUACCGAAUUCAGAUAAACUCCGAAUGCCAUGUACUUAUACUCGGGAGUCAGACUGCGAGUGAUAAGAUCCGUAGUCGAAAGGGAAACAGCCCAGACCACCAGUUAAGGUCCCCAAAUAUAUGUUAAGUGGAAAA